UAGCAGUGAAGACAGCUGUGCCAUGUGGUGUGCUCACACUUUGAGAAGAUCAUUGGAAAGGAGGCCUGGGUGUUCCCAGUGGCCUAUCAGCUCUUCACGUGGUGGUCACCUCAGUCCCCUGCAUCCGUGUCUAUGUCUAUGUCUAGGAGCGGCCAGGUAACAUGUGGUAGCCCGUGAAAUGCAAGCAGAGAUCUGGUGGGCGAGGCUUCUAGGAAAGCUACUGCUGUCCUCAGAAAAAAGGUCCACAGGUGGCAUCCUUCCUGAGAGCUCGCAAGAUGGAGAAGUCUAUGUGGCCUUUCCCCGAGUGACGACACAGCCAAGAGCUGUUGGAUUCCAGCCUCCUCCUUAGCGUUCUAGUUUUCUAGCUCUCCGUCUACAUUCCUGAUGAACUUUAGCAGUACAUUGUCAAGGCAAAGAGGGAUAAUCUGAAGUGGAAAAGGAAGAGGAAGAAGAAGAGGAAGAAGAAGAGAUAAUUUCCUGUUUCCUUUGGAGAGUCAUAAAAUUAAAGGUUAUUUUACUGCAAUUUUUCUUCUCCUAAAUAUUUGGAUAACACACUGGGGUGACUAAAUGGAUAGUUUGAAUCUGCUGUGAAGACGGCCAAUCUGUAAAGAAAAGCUAAGAGAACGGGGAGUCCAAAUGCACUUGGAGUACCUGGAAAUUACACCUGGCAGCCAGCAACCUCUGUGCUUCUUUGUUGUACCGUAUUUUCUGCCGGCGGCUUUCAGGGGUGCCUUUAUUUCACUGAUUACUAAAUUAGUGUUGGAUUUAAUGAGAGAGAUCUGUCCUUUUAUUUGUGCCUUUUUUCCUUCUUCUUACUUAAAAAAAAAAACAGGAUCAGCCUCACAAAGGCUUUGCACAUUUCUAGCUUGCUUUUGAAGAUGUGACCAUUUGCUCCCAUCUAUCUCCAUGGUAAUAAGCUCCCUCCACCCCCAAUUUUCCAAGCCUCAGAUACUUAGGAAGCUUCAGGACUGGAGUAGGGUUGCAUGCUAAAAUAAUGCAGAGAAACAAAUUGUUCUCUGUAAAUAGGCCUCAUCUUCAAAGCAUUCGAAUAUUCUCCAAAAUGUGAUCCAUUUCUCUUUGCUUGAAAACAGGCGUAUUUUAGAUAAAAUAUUCGAAAGUAAAGUUUCGCAUCUCAGGAAAUGCAUCUCAGUAAGAGCCUGUAUUCUAAAACAAGACUUGGACAGGAUUUUAAAACUGGAAGUGGCCUCAGACUUCAUCUAGUCCAAGACUUUUAUUGUACACUUGAGGAAACUGAGGCUUUAGUACAGCUCAUUGUUUUGGGUCUAAUCAUGACUGGGGCUGGGACUUCGGUCUCACAGCAAGGUAUUCUUUCCUCUAUACCAAUAUUUCAAUAAUAAGAAUAAUAAUUAUUAAUUAUAUUACUAAAAAUAGCUAUUAUUAGUAGCGAUGAAAGAGUUAAUGCACAGAAGAUGUGCUAUAAAAUGCAAAUAACUGUCAGGAUGUCUAUGCCAGGCAACUUUUCACUGUAACUUGAAGUCCUUUAGAAGUUGAUAUUUAGGUUUUCAAAUCAUGAACUCGCAAACCAUAUGCUCACAUAAAUUAAUAUACUAAAAGACAAUUUAUUCAUAUACGCAUAUAUGUAUACAUACAUAUAAAUGUAUUUGUGGUAUAUAAAUAAAAUAACAGUGGC
Molecule: long non-coding RNA, 1651 nt
Filed under: Equus caballus (horse)
Lineage: Eukaryota; Metazoa; Chordata; Mammalia; Perissodactyla; Equidae
Description: lncRNA (ENSECAG00000055813.1)
Source: RNAcentral